This 69-nucleotide transfer RNA is filed under the name Coelophora saucia. Its description in RNAcentral is "tRNA-Lys". Lineage: Eukaryota; Metazoa; Arthropoda; Insecta; Coleoptera; Coccinellidae. The record is from RNAcentral.
CAUUAGAUGGCUGAAAGAAAGUAAUGGUCUCUUAAACCAAUUUAUAGUAAAUUACGAAUACUUCUAAUG